Molecule: ribosomal RNA, 497 nt
Filed under: uncultured bacterium
Lineage: Bacteria
Description: partial 16S ribosomal RNA
Rfam family: Bacterial small subunit ribosomal RNA
Source: RNAcentral
GAUGAACGCUGGCGGCGUGCCUAAUACAUGCAAGUCGAGCGAACAGAUAAGGAGCUUGCUCCUUUGACGUUAGCGGCGGACGGGUGAGUAACACGUGGAUAACCUACCUAUAAGACUGGGAUAACUUCGGGAAACCGGAGCUAAUACCGGAUAACAUAUUGAACCGCAUGGUUCAAUAGUGAAAGGCGGCUUUGCUGUCACUUAUAGAUGGAUCCGCGCCGUAUUAGCUAGUUGGUAAGGUAACGGCUUACCAAGGCAACGAUACGUAGCCGACCUGAGAGGGUGAUCGGCCACACUGGAACUGAGACCCGGUCCAGACUCCUACGGGAGGCAGCAGUAGGGAAUCUUCCGCAAUGGGCGAAAGCCUGACGGAGCAACGCCGCGUGAGUGAUGAAGGUCUUCGGAUCGUAAAACUCUGUUAUCAGGGAAGAACAAAUGUGUAAGUAACUGUGCACAUCUUGACGGUACCUGAUCAGAAAGCCACGGCUAACUACGUG